CUCCCUGGUGGCAAAAUAUAUCGACAAUAAUUACACAACAAAGGAUCGAAGUUUGUCUAGAGAAAGUUGUAAAUAAUACUGAGAAUGAAAAAUACAAUGCUUUCUUUUACGUGACGGAUUGUUCGCCGCAAGAAGAUCGAUCCAAUCUUUCCACGUUAUCUGCCAUCAAAACUGGAAAAGAAACGCUUUGCUUUGUUGACAAACGCACAAUCUGCUCACCGCGGGAAGUGAAAUAUUACGCCGCCACAAGCGGAUAUAUCUGCCAUCUUGACCUUGGUUACCAACUGUAACCAUGUCUGAUCACAGGGUAAUUAGAACUUUUACCUCGGUUAAAUUUCUUGUGUGUUUUGUGGCAUUUACCAAAGUAUCAGUAGGCGUUUAGACACGGAAAAUGUUUACCUAGGUAAGUAAACUCUGAUACCUCUGUAAACUGUUGAAGUCUAAACACAGCAUUAGAUUAUAGCGUAUGACAUUUCUCUUUUCGAAUGUAUUUGGUGUCUGAAAGUAAUUUUGGAGCCAGCCUACAAAAUUAACUGAGUUCUGAAAGUUUUUUUGUUAAUCUCGUCUUUGCAGAUAUGCGGGGAGAACAAGUUGAUAGGAGUGCUCAGCGUGGAUUCACCAGGGGAUCUGGACAUUUGUUUUGCGACCCUGUUGAAACAGCAAACUGCGCAUGUUCAAGUCACUACUGAGGUCACCCCCUUCAGGCCUUAUGAAGAUUUUGCUGGUACUUGUGCUGAAAGAAGCCGACAAAGCUUGGACACCACUCCUAUUGAGAGUGUGAGAAAUGAUGGAUUGUACUACUUUAUUCGGUCCCGCGUGGAGUACUUAGGGAUAAGUCAGCUAGAUCUUCUUUCGACCUGGACCGAAGAAGCUAAAUCUUCUCUGGAGGCAAAAAAAUUGGGAUCAAUCGUGGACUUGUGGAAAGUGGUGGCUGAGAGACAGGUUUGGGUGAUUGUUUGUAUGAAUAACCCAGGGGAUGCGGACGAGCUUUUAACGUUUGAUCUGCCAAUCUUGAAGAAGAUGGGAGCCCAAGUUUACUCAAAGUGCAAGUCCAUUCGUCCCAUCAGCUGCUGGGUCGAAGACCUUAAGAAACUUGUGUCUGCUAAUUAAAUGACCGAGUAAUCCAAGUAACGCUUUACAGUUUUAAGUUAGGUGUCGGAUUUUAUGGUCUUUUAUUUGUGAUGAGUUAAUUCAACAGCUUGUGUGUGACUGUUUAACCAAAAACAAGUAAAACACACCAAGUGUAAGUUGUCAAAUAGUCGGUAGGCGGCGGUACGUUUGCAGCCACAAGUACAUUGCUAAUAUAACUAGCUACAGGAACUGCUUCUACUAAGAUAAAAACACUUCGUUUUUUUACACAAAUACUGAACGUUUCUUUUACACAAAUGCUGAACAUCACUUUGAUUGUUUGAUUUUCUUGAUAGGAAAACUGAAAAACACAUACCUUUACAACAACGCUAAUUAUAUAAACGACUCACUUUACGGCAAAAUACUAGCAAAUAGCAGACCACAAAUAUGUGUAUAGUUAGUGCCGCGAUUGCUGAGUAGAAAACAGGAUGUUUGAUCUUGCUGUUGUAACGUUGCAGUAACUGAAUUUGUAUAGUAAAAAGCCACUUGACAUGAUCUUUUCAAAGUAAAUUCCUUUUUAUGCA
Molecule: long non-coding RNA, 1652 nt
Organism: Orbicella faveolata
Lineage: Eukaryota; Metazoa; Cnidaria; Anthozoa; Scleractinia; Merulinidae
Source: RefSeq, a predicted model, not a curated record